GGGGAUUUAGCUCAGUGGUAGAGCACUUGCUUAGCAAGCGCAAGACCGUGGGUUCAGUCCCCA
Molecule: transfer RNA, 63 nt
Filed under: Rattus norvegicus (Norway rat)
Lineage: Eukaryota; Metazoa; Chordata; Mammalia; Rodentia; Muridae
Rfam family: tRNA
About the family: Transfer RNA (tRNA) molecules are approximately 80 nucleotides in length. Their secondary structure includes four short double-helical elements and three loops (D, anti-codon, and T loops). Further hydrogen bonds mediate the characteristic L-shaped molecular structure. tRNAs have two regions of fundamental functional importance: the anti-codon, which is responsible for specific mRNA codon recognition, and the 3' end, to which the tRNAs corresponding amino acid is attached (by aminoacyl-tRNA synthetases). tRNAs cope with the degeneracy of the genetic code in two manners: having more than one tRNA (with a specific anti-codon) for a particular amino acid; and 'wobble' base-pairing, i.e. permitting non-standard base-pairing at the 3rd anti-codon position.
Source: Rfam by way of RNAcentral